RNAcentral lists this long non-coding RNA (3224 nucleotides) under Nicotiana tabacum (common tobacco). RNAcentral describes it as "long non-coding RNA (NTAB_LNC006762)". The record is from RNAcentral. Lineage: Eukaryota; Viridiplantae; Streptophyta; Magnoliopsida; Solanales; Solanaceae.
CAAAACCGAGACAACCUUCAAAUGUUGGAGAGAUGGGCAACGCUAGAACCCUAAAAGAGAAGGACCCCGCCAUUCAUCUUCUGGUUGGAACCCCUGAAUACACCCUAACCUAGAGCUCCAUCAACUGAUCCCUUCAUCCCUUCAAUUCAGACACCCAAAAGUCGUUCCAUGUUCUUCACCUCACAAUCAAGAAAAUUCCUUCAACACCAAACAACCAACAACUAUCGAUCCCCAUAACUCUUAGCCGUCGGAACCUCUCCAAAAUACCAAAAACCCACCGCCUACCUCCACCAGCUGCUAGAACAGUAGCGUCGAACACACCAGCCAACGACCCCUGCUUCUAAACAACCCAAAAUGAGCUAAAAUUUCAGUUUUUGCUCUUGAUUUUGGUCUUAAAGAUGGAGUUUGUCCGAAGCUGAUUUAAUUCGCCGUCUGAGGUCUGAGUUCAUUGUUCCUAUUGGAGUACGUCUCAUCUUGAUGUUUUGGAUUGGCUCGCUGCUGGAAUUUGCAUUUCCCGAUUCGUUUGUACCUUUUCUAAUCAUUUCAAACAUCAAUUGAAAGCUCAUUUUCAGGUUCCUUCCUGAUUCCCUUUCUCCCUAAUGUUAGUAUUGGUUAAAACACCAUGAGAAUUGAAGCUUAAUUGGUUGUUUGAUGCUGGGUAAUAUUAGAGGAAAAUAUUGGUUCUUGAGAUCAACAAAUAGAAGUUGAACCGAUUUUGUGAUUGUUAACAGAAGUGUGGUCGUAAUGUGAUUGUUAGCAAUUUUCAUGAAUAUUUCUGUUUGGUUUGGCUGAGUUUACAUGUGAAUUGAGUUCUGCAAUUUUCCAUUUUGCAAUUUGAUACGAAUCUGUAGGUUCUUGACAGAUAGUUUGAAAGGGAUUGUGUUUGAAUGCUGCCUCAAAGUUUGUUUUACACUCGACCAAGCUUUCGCGAUUUGUUCCCAUUGUUUUCAGUUUUUAAGUAGGAAACUCGACAUUUAUAUCAUAGCUGCCUCUGUUUAACUUGCUGAAAUUCAGAUUCAGGCAUCUAUUUUGGUUUUGUUUGCUUUUAAGCUUUUGUGUGGAUCGACGCACGUUCGUUGUCUUGAGUAAGCAUAUGAUAUCUAUGUUAGAAUGCUAAAUGGUUGUUAUGUUGACAUUUUCUUAAGCAUUAUGCCUCCACUUUGUUGUACCUGUUGGUGUUUGAGCUAUUGUCCAUGGUCAGUAUGUUAUCACAAAGUGAUAAUUCAAGUAUAUGAAGUUUGAAGUUGUUGGUUCACUCUGCCAGUUCUGUUUGAAAACACACAACAUCUUGUGCUUUGUUUCAUCUACUGAUUAAAAGAUCAACCAUGGCUAAGGUUUAAAACAACUGAUUUCUUGCUUUCGAUUUUUUUGAGCUUGUCUUGCUAGCAUAAUUGAACCUGAACAUGAGUAGUUGAUAAAAUUGGAAUGUCUGCGGUUGUGGCUCAAUGUAGGGUUGAAUUGCAUUUGGGUGGCUAGUAUUCAGAUCCAUUUGUCUCUGUUGAUCUAUUUUGGACUUGUGACUUGAUAUGCAUUUAGUUUGAGUGCAGUUAUUGUUCAUGUUUACAAAGAUCAUGUUUUAAAAUUGAAGAAUUGAAAGUUUUGUUGGACUACUCUAGUAGCUGAAUCACAUUCUCAUGUUCUGUUGUUGAAUUCAUACCAUGUGAGAGUGCUGGAAGUUUUUUUAUUGAUUUUGAAAAUGGAUUUUUCAUUCAAAGAGAGGUAGUUCAUUCACAUUUGAGAGGAAGUGAUAAUUCAAGUUCAAAUCUUUUGUUCGGUUUAGCCGAGUUGGUAAUAAAAGCUAUUGGCUUUCAAGUGAAUAUGUUAGUCUUGUUACUAUGCUGAUUAAGGAUCACAUUUGGAUGGCUUCUUCUUUUCUAUUAAAACAUGCCAAUAGUUUAGCUGAAGUCUAAGGACAAUAUGAAUUCUUGCUAACUUCACGCUUGAUUUGUUUCUACAGUGAUCAACAUUCCAUGACUAGAAUUUUGGCAUUCUUUGUAAGAAUUGUGUUUCCCCAUUAACUUAGAAGUUUGUCAUGAAACAAAAUGAAUCAGAAAUAGGAUCUCUCAUUUAGUUUUGUUUCAUUUGUUUAUGCUAUUACUUAACCGCUAGGAAUAUGCUUAGACCGACUACACAUGGGUAAGCAAACUUUUCGGCACGUAAGUAAUUAUCGUGACUAUGGGUACGGUUCUUGUGGCAUAGUCAUGAUACAUAAAUCUAAAUUCAGGUGUACAUUUCAUGUGACCCGACCAUAAUUUUGAAUAAUGACAAAAAUACACACAUUAUAGAUCGUGGGUAUAGUUUCCGUGACGUGAUUCACAAUGUGUACCAAAACGACAAGAGUACGACAAUCGUGCCUUGUUCCAGAAAAUAUUUUCUUAAAUAAUUAAAAGUUGUAGAAGUUAAAAAAGCACGUAGGUUUCAAAUGUGUAAUUAAUCAAAUAAUUAGGCCAAUAUUAAUAGUUGAGCAACCGUGCUAAAACCACGGAACCCGAGAAUGCCUAACACCUUAUCCGGGUUAAUAGAAUUCCUUACACGAAUUUCUGUGUUCGCAGACCAUAAAUAAGAGUCAACUUCCUCGAUUUGGGAUUUUAAACCAGUGACUUGGGACACCAUAAAUUAUCCCAAGUUUUGACUCUAAAUCUGAAUAAAUAAUCUCGUUUCGAUUAUUGUCACUUUAAUUGGAAAAACUCUCCUAUACCCCCUUUCGGGGUAGAAAAAGGAGGUGUAACAGCUCUUUCUCUGCUGCUUCUCAAUUUUCCCUUGCCGGCGGCUCAUAUUUUCCAACCUGUUGUUCUUAGCCUCCAUCCUGCCCAUUAUUGCUUUUUGCUCUUUGACCACGUCAUCCAGGGAUGGUGGGACAUCAGUGCUAGUAGAUGUGUGAUCGAGGCCAACCAUGCACUACUAUUGAGUAGCGAGAGAGGUCGAAGCAGCUUUUACCCGAUGAGGUCGGGAUCGAUUUUCACAGGGAGCUAGAUACUGGAGUUGAGUUUCUAUCUAAAGUGGAGUUGUGUAUUUGUUCCUAAUUGCACUUCUAUACAUUUUUGGUUUUGAUUAUAACUCUAAUUUUAUAAUGCUACAAUGCUAAAUAAGGCUAAGGUUAAACUAUUGCAGGUUGUUCAAAUAGAUAAAAGGCACUAGGGUAGUGACUUUUUCCUAAGUGUCUAAUUGACGGAUUCUUGAGUCUAAGGCUAGAUUGUCACAAUUGGGGAGUAUUAUAUAACCAU